RNAcentral lists this ribosomal RNA (446 nucleotides) under uncultured bacterium. RNAcentral describes it as "bacterial SSU rRNA". It matches the Rfam family "Bacterial small subunit ribosomal RNA", at positions 328 to 792 of the family's 1533-position model. The record is from RNAcentral.
AAUCCAGACUCCUACGGGAGGCAGCAGUAGGGAAUUUUGCGCAAUGGGCGAAAGCCUGACGCAGCAACGCCGCGUGAUCGAGACGCCCUUCGGGGUGUAAAGAUCUGUCAGUGGGGACGAAACUUGACGGUACCCACAGAGGAAGCACCGGCUAACUCCGUGCCAGCAGCCGCGGUAAUACGGGGGGUGCAAGCGUUGUCCGGAAUUAUUGGGCGUAAAGGGUGCGCAGGCGGCAAGAAAAGCUUAAGGUGAAAGCGUGGGGCUCAACCCCAUAAAGCCUUAGGAACUAGCUUGCUAGAGUGCAGGAGAGGGCGAUGGAAUUCCAUGUGUAGCGGUAAAAUGCGUAGAUAUAUGGAGGAACACCAGUGGCGAAGGCGGUCGCCUGGCCUGUAACUGACGCUGAGGCACGAAAGCGUGGGGAGCAAAUAGGAUUAGAUACCCGAGUA